This 95-nucleotide transfer RNA is filed under the name Streptomyces fumigatiscleroticus. RNAcentral describes it as "tRNA-Leu". Lineage: Bacteria; Bacillati; Actinomycetota; Actinomycetes; Kitasatosporales; Streptomycetaceae. The record is from RNAcentral.
GCGCCCCUGCCGUGGGCCUGCGGUGGGCGCUCAGGCCGCCCGCACGCUGCCUUCCGGCACGCCGCCGUGGGCGCUCGGACGCGGCCCGGGCGUGC